UACGUAGGGGGCAAGCGUUGUCCGGAUUUAUUGGGCGUAAAGCGCGUGUAGGCGGCCACACAGGUCCGCUGUGAAAACUCGGGGCUCAACCUCGAGCUGUCGGUGGAAACCGUGUGGCUAGAGUCCGGAAGAGGAGACUGGAAUUCCCGGUGUAGCGGUGGAAUGCGCAGAUAUCGGGAGGAACACCGGUGGCGAAGGCGGGUCUCUGGGCCGGACCUGACGCUGAGGAGCGAAAGCGUGGGGAGCGAACAGG
This 253-nucleotide ribosomal RNA is filed under the name uncultured bacterium. RNAcentral describes it as "partial 16S ribosomal RNA". It matches the Rfam family "Bacterial small subunit ribosomal RNA", at positions 524 to 776 of the family's 1533-position model. The record is from RNAcentral.